GACGAACGCUGGUGGCGUGCUUAACACAUGCAAGUCGAACGGAAAGGCCCUGCUUUUGUGGGGUGCUCGAGUGGCGAACGGGUGAGUAACACGUGAGUAACCUGCCCUUGACUUUGGGAUAACUUCAGGAAGCUGGGGCUAAUACCGGAUAGGAGCUCCUGCUGCAUGGUGGGGGUUGGAAAGUUUCGGCGGUUGGGGAUGGACUCGCGGCUUAUCAGCUUGUUGGUGGGGUAGUGGCUUACCAAGGCUUUGACGGGUAGCCGGCCUGAGAGGGUGACCGGCCACAUUGGGACUGAGAUACGGCCCAGACUCCUACGGGAGGCAGCAGUGGGGAAUAUUGCACAAUGGGCGGAAGCCUGAUGCAGCAACGCCGCGUGCGGGAUGACGGCCUUCGGGUUGUAAACCGCUUUCGCCUGUGACGAAGCGUGAGUGACGGUAAUGGGUAAAGAAGCACCGGCUAACUACGUG
RNAcentral lists this ribosomal RNA (468 nucleotides) under uncultured bacterium. Its description in RNAcentral is "partial 16S ribosomal RNA". It matches the Rfam family "Bacterial small subunit ribosomal RNA", at positions 28 to 507 of the family's 1533-position model. The record is from RNAcentral.